AAAAUACUGCAAUCCAAUUUUUAUAACCCAUCUUGGUGAAACCAUCCUAAUUUCUCCUAGAGUAACCAAGAGGCUAGACCCAGUACCACUUAUGCCCAACCUAAACUGGCCCAGCCACCUGUUUUUAGCCAACAGGUUUAGAAGAAACCUCAAGCUGAACCUUCCAAUGGCUUAGAAAACUUGUUGAAGGCUUACAUAGCCAAAAAUGAUGCCUUAAUCCAAAGCCAAAUAGCCACAUUGAAACACUUGGAGAAC
This 255-nucleotide long non-coding RNA is filed under the name Gossypium barbadense (sea-island cotton). RNAcentral describes it as "long non-coding RNA (GBAR_LNC015635)". The record is from RNAcentral. Lineage: Eukaryota; Viridiplantae; Streptophyta; Magnoliopsida; Malvales; Malvaceae.